This 406-nucleotide ribosomal RNA is filed under the name uncultured bacterium. Its description in RNAcentral is "partial 16S ribosomal RNA". It matches the Rfam family "Bacterial small subunit ribosomal RNA", at positions 30 to 526 of the family's 1533-position model. The record is from RNAcentral.
AUUGAACGCUGGCGGCAGGCCUAACACAUGCAAGUCGAACGAGUGGCGGACGGGUGAGUAAUGUCUGGGAAACUGCCUGAUGGAGGGGGAUAACUAAUGGAAACGGUAGCUAAUACCGCAUACCAUCGGAUGUGCCCAGAUGGGAUUAGCUAGUAGGGGGGGUAACGGUUCACCUCGGCGACGAUCCCUAGCUGUUCUGAAAGGAUGACCAGCCACCCUGGAACUGAGACAAGGUCCAGACUCCUACGGUAGGCAGCAGUGGGGAAUAGUGGACAAUGGGCGCAAGCCGGAUGCAGCCAUGCCGCGUGUAUGAAGAAGGCCUUCGGGUUGUAAAGUACUUGCAGCGGGGAGGCGUUACCCGCAGAAGAAGCACCGGCUAACUCCGUGCCAGCCGCCGCGGUAAUAC